Molecule: ribosomal RNA, 455 nt
Filed under: Flavobacteriaceae bacterium JJ-406
Lineage: Bacteria; Pseudomonadati; Bacteroidota; Flavobacteriia; Flavobacteriales; Flavobacteriaceae
Description: bacterial SSU rRNA
Rfam family: Bacterial small subunit ribosomal RNA
Source: RNAcentral
GUUUGAUCCUGGCUCAGGAUGAACGCUAGCGGCAGGCUUAACACAUGCAAGUCGAGGGGUAUAUUUCUUCGGAGAUAGAGACCGGCGCACGGGUGCGUAACGCGUAUGCAAUCUACCUUUUACAGAGGGAUAGCCCAGAGAAAUUUGGAUUAAUACCUCAUAGCAUUGCAGAAUGGCAUCAUUCAGCAAUUAAAGUCACAACGGUAAAAGAUGAGCAUGCGUCCCAUUAGCUAGUUGGUAAGGUAACGGCUUACCAAGGCUACGAUGGGUAGGGGUCCUGAGAGGGAGAUCCCCCACACUGGUACUGAGACACGGACCAGACUCCUACGGGAGGCAGCAGUGAGGAAUAUUGGACAAUGGGCGCAAGCCUGAUCCAGCCAUGCCGCGUGCAGGAUGACGGUCCUAUGGAUUGUAAACUGCUUUUAUACGAGAAGAAACACUGAUUCGUGAAUCAG